CAUUACAAUAAAUAUGCCUCGACAAUAGUGAUCUGAGGCUGGUUUGUCAACCGAUCAAGCGGUGUUCAGAUCAACCCUGAAAUUUGUAUAAUGUAUACCAUAUCUAACAAAAAUGAAAUGGCAAAAAUUCCCGACUUAGAUCAUAAUGAUGACAUUUACGAGAGGGACUUGGUGACCUCGGACUCGAAAUCUGAUGCCUCGAAUUGUGGAUAUUUCAAUCUAUCGGUGCUUUUAAUUAAUUUCAUAAAAAUUAAAUAACGAUUAAAUAGUUAUUAAACUAUAACCUAAUUUAAAGAUUAGCUUAUAGAAAGCUACUCUGAAAGCGAUGAUAGCUACGAUCGGGAUGGGGAUUCUCUGUAAUCUAAACCAUAUUUGAAACACCUCAAUCUAUAAAAAAAUACAAUGGGGGGAAAUUAAAUAAAGCAUGUGCCUACAGGACUUAAAUGAAGCUGCCCGAGUGUUGAAAGAUUUUUCUCUUUGCACACUUUCAUAGAUCCGAUUGGCACUCCAAUGAUGCAAGAGGCUUCCUUCCGUUCCCGAUUGUUUAAGGCACUGGCAAGGCAAGAGUUGGAAAAGUUAGUCCUAGAGAAACGAAAUAAGCAAUAAUAUAUCAUUAUAUUUGAUGUAAUUAUACUUACAUUUGAGGUAGGAGUCACUUGAGUAGGUUAGAGUCACAACUCGGAAAAAAAACCGCAAAGUAAGUACAAGUAUUACCCAAAGUGUGACGUGUGAAGUGAUUUAAACAGUAUUGCUAUGA
Molecule: long non-coding RNA, 757 nt
Organism: Drosophila miranda
Lineage: Eukaryota; Metazoa; Arthropoda; Insecta; Diptera; Drosophilidae
Exons: 3
Source: RefSeq, a predicted model, not a curated record